CCAACUGCUGGAACCAAGGAGAGCAAUCUUCUGUCCACUGUCCCAGAGAUGUGCUGCAGGGGAGGGCUCGGUGGAGCUGAAAUAAUGCACACCACGAGGAGCUGCAGCGAGAGAACCGGGGGCAAAAACAUCCCACCUUCCCUGGGGGCUUGGGAUGCAAUUUCUGGCUCUCGUGUCUCGGAAAGAAAUCCCUGCUGUGUGAAACCAGGAGGGGUCAUCCCUUUUCUUCCAGGCCAGCAGCUCCCAGGGCCUGAAUCAUCUCCUGGGCAGGGCAAGUUCCCUUGGACUGCUGUUUAUCCCUUUGGGAUUUCAUCUUCUGGGCACUAGAGCAGGGUAGAACUCUGUUAAUUUCCCUUAAUUGGCUCGUUAAAUUGAGAGUGGAUCCCAGGUCUGUGCAGGUCUUGGUGUCUCCAUCCUUUAAUUAUAUUUACUUACCCCACGUGAAUCCAUAAAGAUGAUCCCAGUGUCUUUCCAAGCCUGGAUUUUGGAGUCUGCCAAGGCCAGCUGCAAUCUUUGGGUCUUUAUUAUUCCACAGCCACAUCUGGGUGGACAGAACAGACUCUCUGUACAUGUUUCACUUCGUGUUUUACAAGGUGCAGCCAAUUAUUCACUGCAGGAACCACCGGCACUCGCUGCAGAGGAGAAAAUGAAAUAUAGGCCUUGCAACCCACCUGGCACUGCUCAUUCCCUGUGCCUUGGACACGUUUUUAUUGGGAAUAGACAGCUCUAACCACACUGUUUGGGUGUUUUAAACCACGAGUUAGGAUUAAUGUCUAUAAUAAAGAAAUAAAUAGGAAUACCUUGAUGCAGGGACACCUUCCACAGUCUCACUCCAAGCUUUAUCCAAUUUCUCCUGAAUAUUUUCAGGGAUGGGACAGCCACAGCUUCUCCCUGCUCCCAGGGAAGAGAGCAGGUUGGACAAUGAAGAGAAGGAACAGCAGAUCCUACAAAAUAAUUAAUAAUGCAAGGAACUCUAUCAGCUGCUCCUGCUGAUGCCUUUGGAUGGGAGCAUGGAAUUUAAUGGGAAGGGAAUAUGAAGGAGCUGCAAGAGUCAUCCCACACAAGGUGCAAUUAACACCUGGGAGCUUUGCACUGCUGAAUAACUUUAAAACCAAGCGCUCAGAAGGAUAAAAAGGGGAUUAUACGAUAUUCAUGGUGAUAAUGAAAAGAUCAGGAUUUAUUAGUGAAAAUCACAAUGCAGAGGAGAAAUCAUCCUGGUUUUGGGAUUUACACUGCCAGGAUCACCAAAGAGCUGACAGCAGCAGGUAAACACUCCCAGCUCUCCCAGAGCAGAGGUAGGGCAGAAACUGAACCAGUUCCUCAAGACUCAGCAAUUACUAAUUAGGAGAUGAAGUCAAUAAUUGCUGCAGUGUGAAGGUUUGGACGCAGAUAAACGUGUAAAGGUGCCAAGAAUAAACUAAUUGAAACAGAAUUACAUCAAACAUUUGCCUCAUGUUGAGGGGGCUCAGUGUUUGUUUUGUGAGCCCUGGCUGAGGGGAUGUUUAAUAUCUGAGCAACUGCUUGCAGGGAAACACUGGGACCAAUAAAGAAUCUGGGCCUCCAAGUGCCUCAGCACUUCAAAAUGUCAUUAAAAGUCACUCCACAAGGCAAGCACU
Zonotrichia albicollis (white-throated sparrow) is the source of this 1616-nucleotide non-coding RNA. NCBI's taxonomy places the organism in Eukaryota, Metazoa, Chordata, Aves, Passeriformes, Passerellidae. The record is from RefSeq and is a predicted model, not a curated record.